GCAAGAUCAAUGGAGAAGCAGAGAGGGUCGGUCGUCCUCAACGUUGAAGAUCAGCAAUAGCAGCAGUGGCUUUGCUGUCAACGUUGAAAGUAUAGUUUUUGCUUUUACGCACAAGUGUUCAAUUGUAUUUUGAUAGAUUAUGUUCGGACCCUAGAUAUCUAGGCUGAUUACUGUAGUCAAAUGUUUUUGAAAUGCAGAGCUCAAAGGCGGUGAAAAGAAACGAAGAAGAAACUAUCUAAGUUUUCCUAUAAAUUUCCAAAUCAUGCUACUACGUUGUUGAAUUAUGUUGAAUCCCUGUCUGCCAUUGUGUCCUCUGAGUACUAGAGUUUUUCCACUUAUAGUGUAUAUGGUGUGAGCAGGGCGUGUGUGUAUAGAAUUCUUCUUUUUUUGUUUAGGAGAUCCGGUCUCCAAGAUGGGUUAAUUGUUCAUCAUAGUUCUUGUUAUUUUGAAUUUUGAAUCAGGGUCCUGGCUUAAUUCUCUCUACUUUUUUUUUCUUUUUUUUUUU
Molecule: long non-coding RNA, 505 nt
Filed under: Malus domestica (apple)
Lineage: Eukaryota; Viridiplantae; Streptophyta; Magnoliopsida; Rosales; Rosaceae
Description: long non-coding RNA (MDOM_LNC017541)
Source: RNAcentral